This is a long non-coding RNA of Magnolia sinica, 406 nucleotides long. RefSeq lists it as uncharacterized. The record is from RefSeq and is a predicted model, not a curated record. The transcript is spliced from 4 exons. NCBI's taxonomy places the organism in Eukaryota, Viridiplantae, Streptophyta, Magnoliopsida, Magnoliales, Magnoliaceae.
CCAUUUUCUUAUUCUAGGGUUAGGAUUUUAUUUUCCAUUUCCGAUCUUUUCUCCCUCUUUCUUCUCCGCAAGAGGGAAAGCAUCGGUGUUGACAGUGAUUCCAUCAAUGGGGGCGAUUCGAGUGUCAGCAGCAAGUUUGUAGACAGUGAACAAUUUCAGAGGUGGGUUAUAAGCAUAAGAUUACGAGGAGGAGGGAGAAGGGCAUCAAGAGGAUAUAAACAGUGUGGCCACCUAUUGAAAGCUUGGAUCUCACACCCGUGUGCCAUAUUGGCAUGUAUGCUUGAAUUUGGAUGAGUAACCAUUGAGGAAAUUUCCGGCUUGAUGUGACUUCAAGAUUAACACUCAAUUCUCUACUAUGUCUCUGCAGAAAUUUAUCAAGCAACAAGCUUACAGGAUUCAUCCCCUU